Molecule: long non-coding RNA, 5694 nt
Organism: Homo sapiens (human)
Lineage: Eukaryota; Metazoa; Chordata; Mammalia; Primates; Hominidae
Exons: 3
Source: RefSeq, a predicted model, not a curated record
AGGGCCCGCAGCUUCCGGCACUGGAAGAGCUCCGGAGGGAGCGUCUCGAUCUGGAGGGAAAAAAGCAGGGAUGGGGUAACUGAGGCCCAAAGACGCUGACUUGUCCAGAGGUUCAGCUGGUAAGUGAUGGAGCCAGGAUUUGAACCCGGUUCAACAGCCCAUGCUCUGGUGAACCGUCCACACUGUUAGCGGAGCAAGGAGCAAACAGGGGGCUGCAGUGGGUUCGUGCUGUCUCCUGGCACACAGGAAGAGCCUCACGUAUGCCAGCUUCUUCCCUGCCCUGCUGCGAGGAAUCAGCUGGGGCCAUGAGUUCUUACUGCGUGUAAGUAAGGCCAUGAGUUGAGCCUGCCCGUCCCGAGGCUGCCUCCUUCAGAUGGGAUGGGCAGGAGGGCAGGAGCCAGGAGCCCUGGGCCUUGAUCCCAAGUGAGGAUGAUGGGGAGAUGGCACAGCAGCCCUUCUGAGCUUGCUCUAUCACCGCCCCCAUUUUCCUGCCAAGGAGACUGAGGCCCAGAGAGAUGACACGCCACUCGUCUGAGGUUGCAGCCUCUCCGAAAGGGUCAGGAGAGGAUGUACGUCUUAUUUCCUCCCACUCAGAGCCCAUGCUGUAUUUCCCUUCUGCCAAAUAUGGCACUCAGUUACAGGGUAACUCUGGAAGUCCCUCCCUCUCUGGGCCUCAGUUUCCCCAUUUGUAAAAGGCACAGGUUGGACUAGAAACUGAGCUUGGACACUCUGUGGCUGAGGACCGUUUUGCAGACUCGGACCUCAACCUCACGGGCACCUGCUCUCUCCAGCCGCGUUUAGAGAAGGGCCCAGGAGUUCCUGGGGAGCAACGUGGCUUUCCCAGCAGGGAGAUAAGCAUGGCCAAGGCCCGGCAGAGUGCUUUUUCUUUUUUUUUGGGGGGCGGGGGCGGGGGACGGAGUCUCACUCUGUCACCCAGAGAGUGCAGUGGCGCAAUCUUGGCUCACUGUAAUCUCCACCUCCCAGGUUCAAGUGAUUCUCCUGCCUUAGCCUCCCGAGUAGCUGGGAUUACAGCCGCAUACCACCAUGCCCGGCUAAUUUUUGUAUUGUUUGCAGAGACGGGGUUUCAUUAUGUCGGCCAGGCUGGUCUUGAACUCCUGACCUCAGGUGAUCUGCCCGCCUCGGCCUCCCAAAGUGUUGGGAUUACAGGCGUGAGCCACCAUGCCCAGCCCAGGCACAGGGGGUGCUUUCAAAAAGGCUCCUAACCUGUGUAUCCUACACUGCCACCACUGUGACCAAGGAUCAGGAAUGCAUUUGGGGUUGGCUUUGAGGUCAGCAGGGGCUGAAGGUCAGAGGGUAGACAGGAAGUGGGCUCUGGAGCACCCAGGGGCCAGAGCCUUCCCAGAAAGACCCCACUCCCACCCCGUGAUCUCCUCUGCUGACACAUGCAGUGGUCAGGGACAGUGGGAAAGCUCUGGACAGCGAGUGGCAGAGCUCGGGUCCAUAUGGAGCCUGGCUCUGGAGCCCCCUCCCUGAAAGGCCUCCUCCCCAGAACAUGCCCUGCUCUGAGCCAGGGAGCCCUCUCCAGGCCCCAGAGAGAAAAGGGGAGGUACUCUCAGUUGCUCGGCUCCCACCACAGCCACACCCAUCCUCUGGACCGAUCCUUCUCUGCUGGAUUGUCGGAUUGUCGCCGGCCCGUGCCCUGGAGGCUUGAAGUUGGUUCCCAAUCCCCCAAUUGCACCCUCUCCUACCUCCCCAGAGACUUCAGUGGGUCCCCAUCGGCACUGAAAGGCCUCAACUCGACCUGAUCUUUGAAAAGGACAACUCUCUCAGGAGGCUUCCAGGGCCCCAGCGUUGUCCUUGGCUCUCUGGCCUUCCUGACCAACUGCAGGAAAGCCGCUGUCUCUCUCCUCACUCUGCCUCCAUGACCCUGUCCACCCUUAACUCUCUGGCCAAAGUCACCAGUUCCUAAUCCAGCCAACUCCCCAGGCCCCAUGUGCCCCACGCUCUGGCCUCGCCCUCCUCUUCUGCAGACUCCUGUCCUUCUCCCUCUCUGCUCUCCACAGUGAGCAAGUCAAGGACCCAUCUUCACCCAUGAGCCUGGAAAGGGUGACUCCUUGGGCUUCAGGUGGAUUCAAGAUGGUCCCUUGGACAUCCCAGAGCCCCAGACACCUGACAUGAGACACACCUUGGCCUCUGAAAACCUGUGCUUCCUCCAGUCUCAACAAUCCACAAAAAAAAGCUCAAGUCACUCAGACCACCCCCACCAUCAACUCCCGUCCCUUUGAAUUCCCCCUCCAGCGUCUCCCAGAUCCGUCCAUGUCUCUCCAUCCCUACCUGCCUUGGCCACGCCAGGCCCCGUGGCCUCACCUGAUGGCUAAUCGUGGUCUCUUAACAGCUCUCUUCCACCUCCCACCUCUCACUCACCCCACCCCACACACUACCGCAAGAGGAACCUCACGCUGCAAGUCAGCUCAUUCCUUCACCCACUCAAUCACUAGGAAUUCGGUAAACACUUGCUUGAACAAAAGAGCUAGGUCUUAGUCAUCAGAGCCUAUGGGCUGGCAAGGGAUCGGCUGUUAAACAAAUGAAGAGACAAUUGAAACUGAGGUGUAGGACAGGACCCCCCUGCCAUCCACACCCCCCCCCAUAGCCCCACCUCUGCUCUCCAGGAUGCCCACAUUCCUGGGCAGCCCAUCUCACUGCUCCUCCCCACCAGAACCUCCUGGACUGUCCCUUUCCCCUCCACCUGGCUUCCUCCUCCUCGUUCUUCAGGGGCCUGUUCCUCUGUGUUCCCAGGGACCUGGUGCUCCAGCAGAGCGCCUACGCACUGUGCUAACUGCCUCGUUACUUGGCCUUCUUCAUCCCCAUGUCCCCGGCGCCUUGCUCCAUAGCUGGAUUCUAGAAGUGCUCAAAAAACAUCUGCACAAAGGCCAGGCGAAGUGGCUCAUGCCUGUAAUACCAGCACUUUGGGCGGCCAAGGUGGGAGGCUUUGAGGCCAGGAGUUUAAAGACCAGCCUAGAAAACACAGUGAGACCCUGUCUCUACCAAAAAAACAAACAAACAAAACAUAACAAUUUGCACACAUCAGUAAACGAGUGAACGAAUGAAUACUGUCUUGUCAAGGCUUUCAUUAGCAAGAGUAUAAAUCUGGAGAAACAGCACGCAAGGGCGUGGGCAGGCCACGCCCACCCCUCCUGGUCACCACUGGCCAAGGUGGCUGAGAAGGAGCCAUCAAGCCCGAGUGAGGAGGAAGAGGGGCUCAGGCCUCCCACUCAGAAUGAGGGGCCUGCCUGGGGUUGGCCCAAGUGAACUGUUUUCCCUAUUAAGGCUCUGGUGUUCCAGGGGGUGGGGACAGGAUGUGAUUAAGCCAUGUGCUAAACAGGGUGUCCAGAGGGUCUCCUUCCUCUGGGACAGCGUGCUUGCCGCCAGCUCCUUUCCUGAGGGGUGACCUCAGCCAGCAGGCAUGACACUAACAGGCAAGCUUGGCGGGAGGAGCUGGGGGUGGGGGACAGGAUGGGGAGCCAGGCUGGAGGCUUGAACCCUCCCCCAACCAGGAGGACAGCCCCAGCACAGCACCCGGGACAGGGCAGGAAUGGCAGGAGCUGUGAGGAAGUCCCAGCUUAUCAAGGGCAGCACUGUGCUAUGGGGAAGCCACAGGGUCUCCCCCUCCACAGAUUAAAGAAGGGCUGGGUUUGUUCUGUGCUUCCCAAAUGUGGCUUCUCCCCAGGGGACUCCAGUUUUCCUAUUCAGUGGGCCUGUCCCGAAACUACAAGAGAAAACCCUGCCCUGGUCCACUCUCCCACUGUGCUCAAGUCAUAAUAUGGGGUGGCCGGAGAUAAGGACUUGUCAAAAUCCCUGAUACAUGUGGGUUGCAGGUUGCUCUGCAGUAAGGGAGCCCUGGGGAAGAGGGGAGGAAGGCUUCCAAGCCAGCAGGCAUCUGGAGGGCCUGAAGCAUCUAGUCUGAGUGAUGCUGGAGAAGGUGUGUCCUGUCCUGGGGCCCAGGAGGACAGACAGGGCAUUCCAGGGGCCACCUCCCUCCGUGCCUGAGGAUACUAUAGACAGACCGGGCAUUCCAGGGGCCACCUCCCUCCGUGCCUGAGGAUGCUAUAGACAGACCCUGUUGGGAGGACUCAGCAGGUUGGUGGAAGGAGGACAGGUGCAUCAUGCCUGGCACAGGGCGAACACAGAGCAGGUGCCCACGAAACCAACAGGGACUGCACCGUGGGGCUGCUGCAUGGCAGAUGCACCCAACAGCAACAACCGAACUAAGAAACGCGGGUUGCCACACGGAGGCUGCAGAGGGGAGGGUGCUUAGUGAAAAUGCUCUAUGAGCUGCACGCUUUUUAUAAGCAGGAGUGGUUUUCCUAUUUGGCUCACUGCUGCUGGACCACCCUGUAAGUAAGUUCCCCCAAAUAAACCCCAUGUUUCAAUGGCCGGCUCCAGGGCUCUUCAUUUUACUUUGAGACUGGGUCUCACUCUAUUGCCCAGGCUGAAGUACAGUGGUACAACCAUAGCUCACUGCAGUCUUGAACUCCUAGGCUGAAGCGAUCCUGCCUCAGCCUCCCAAAUAGCUGGGACUACAGGCACAUGCCACCAUGCCUGGAUCAUUUCUGUAUUUUUGGUAGAGAUGGGGUUUCCCUAUGUUGCCCAGGCUGGUCUCGAACUCCUGAGCUCAAGUGACCGCCCCACCUUGGCUUCCCUAAGUGCUCGGAUUACAGGUUUGACCCACUGGGCCUGGUCAACUCCGAGUCUCUUCUUCAGCCUCCUGAACCUGGUGGCAUCCCUAGUGAAGUUCACAGGGGCCCGGCACGACAGCUGCUGCUGUGUCGGGGGCAGAAGGGUGGCUGGCUGGGCUCUCCCUUGUCUCCCAGCGCCUGGCCUCAGGCUUCCUCCACCACAUGUCUCACUACAGGAAUCUCCACCUGGAUGUGAGGCCCAGGAAAACCUGCAGGUCCCCAGGACGGGUGGAAGAGGGACGUUCCCCACAAUGGCAGUGGCUUUGUUUCCAUUUCGGAGGCCAGACCACAGAGCCACAGGAGUACCCAGCCCUCCAUCCACACUGCCUGCCUCCACCAAGGGGCCCUUGGAUGGGGGCUUCCCCAGCCAGAAGGGCAGGCAGAAACAAACUAGCCCCAUCUAGGCCCAACUCUGCCUCUGACACCACCAAAUGCAGUGGAGAAAGGUGUGUGGGAGCUGCAGAGACCAUCCAAGGCUUCCCCUCAGCCAGCACUGGCCACCCACACAGUUUCUGUCCUGGGUGGACCCGGAUUGGCUCCUUGCCUCCAAGUCCGACUGGGAACAAGCUGAGGAAGACACAAACUCCAGGCUAAGUCUUGACUCCCACCACCCGGCUUUGCGAGAGAACCCCCGGGUUUGGACCUCCUGCCCAAGCACAUCCCUGCUGAAGAGGAACCCGGCUCAAGGUCACCUUGGGGGACAGACCUUGCCUGGCCAUGCAGUCUCUCCAGGCAGGAGAACUGCAACAUUUUGGAGCAAAGACAGGCCCGGGGCCCAGAGAUUCGGAUUCAGCAGGCCUGGGAUGGGGCCCAAGGAGUCUGUCUCUUGAACAGAGCUUCUAUCCUGGAUGGUUCUGUAAACCCCAGGUGAGGACUCCACACUCAGGGGCAUCGACGGUCCCAGGACACUGAGCCUGCCGAGUGCCCCACCACAAGCCCUGGCCAGGCCACCCGCCAGCCCACACGCAGAGCUGUGGCCGGGCCACUCACCCGGUUG